RNAcentral lists this long non-coding RNA (652 nucleotides) under Rattus norvegicus (Norway rat). RNAcentral describes it as "long non-coding RNA NONRATT008229". The record is from RNAcentral. Lineage: Eukaryota; Metazoa; Chordata; Mammalia; Rodentia; Muridae.
GCGGCAGGACGGGCGAGCGCAGCCACAGCCUGGCCCACUUACCCCGAGCCGGGGGCGCACCCCCGUCAGACCCGGGGCGGGAGAGUGGGGGGGUCAGCAGGAGUAGGUCCGGACCGUGGAGGGCUCCAGUCUCUGCGCCCCCGCCGUCCCGGCUGGCAGGAGUCGGCAGCGGCGGGAGAACACACAGAGCGCGGUGAGACCAGAACACACGGACAAUGAUUGGUCAGGUGACCAGAGACAUGCUCCUCCAGAGGAUACAGGGAGCAACCUCCACUCUCUGCUCCCCAUCGAUGCCAACCGAUUCUCCAAUCACCUCUCUGCAGAGGGUCCCCAGAGCCCCAAUCCCACAGGAUGGAUCACUGGACAGGCCGCCCAACACUCCUAACAGAGCCACAGCUCACUGCCUUGUAGCCAAGCCUCAUCUUCCAGCCUGUGUUUUCAGAACUGCACAGGCCCCGUGACUCGGUUAGGGUGAGCAGGAACAAGGCCACUGACCCCUGUUCUUGUUUCAAUGACUCCUCCCAUCUCCGGUGCCUCUGGAUUUGUAAUCUAUGCCCUUGGGGUGACCAACGCCCUAGUCACUUGUCAUAGACCCAUCCCAGAAGCACUUGGAUGCACUUUCAAGAUUUUUUUCGGGGGGGGGGGGGUUGGG